This 495-nucleotide unclassified non-coding RNA is filed under the name Azorella haastii. Its description in RNAcentral is "Azorella haasti partial contains external transcribed spacer and 18S ribosomal RNA". The record is from RNAcentral. Lineage: Eukaryota; Viridiplantae; Streptophyta; Magnoliopsida; Apiales; Apiaceae.
UCAGGCAGCGACAUCCGCCUGUUCAUUCUUGCUCAGGACUUGCCCAAGAUCUUCUUGACUUGGCUCUUUUUGGUUACACUGUGUUGCAUGCCAACAUUGAUGGAAUUUUUGACGCUGUCGUUUGUCCAUAAAUUCACCUUGUGCUGCUCAUGUGGUGCGAGUUGAACGCCGUAUUGCCUCGUGAUGCCCUGGCCGUCGUCACUUCUUGUGCUGUUGGUUUGGGCGACACUGGGAACUCGAACUCUCGAUUACAGAAAGUAAUGUUGGGCGUAUGGUGUCUAGCACUCUGUAAGCCCAAAUUGAGCGCUCUUGCCAACGACGUUGACAUCCAGGUUCUCAAAGUGUCGGGAUAGCUGGCUGACGUUGUUGGGCAGAGAGCUUCGAAAGACAAACUGUCGAGCCUCGUUUCGUAGAGGUCCUGAGGCGUACGACCGUACGACCAAAGGCUGCUCGGGUUGGGGUACCUCGGCAUGUUUGCCAAGGAAUGCUACCUGG